AGUUCCAUUCAUCAAAAGAUAUCAGCCAACACAUUCAUUCAACAUACAUAGAAGAUGCAUUUUUUCAUCACUCAAGUUAGCUACAACCAUUCAUUAAAUACCCAAGUCAACAUUUAGGUCAUGUACUGUUACAAAAUAUGAUGAGCAACUUCUCAAGAGACAAAUUAUUUGAUCACUUGACUACUACAAAAUAUUAUGGAAGAUACCCAGUCUUUGAUCAAGCCGACAUUAACUUCCACAUGAACAAAAUGUGUUGACAAUAUUCCAUGUUAUGGACAAAAGCGAUCAACCAAACAUCCUGGAUUAACCUCAGUACUUCCUACUUUCUGCCAUUUGUCCCUGCAAAACAACUUGUAUCUUUGAGCAAUCUUAGAAAAUGCGAACCACACAUGAUGAAAGAGACUGAUUUCAUAGACCAUAAUAUUGAUGUAUAUUUGAGUCCAAAAGAGAUGAUAAAAAGGGUAUCACAUAGAUGAAAUAGACGUGCACAUCAUCUAUAAUUUCAACGAUCUGGACUAAGACUUUUCUGCGUUAAAAAUAGUUUUUUAAUCCUAUCAAGUGCCGAGAUUGGAAAAAAUGUGUCAUCUAUAUAUAUGAAUGGAGCAAAUAGAUUAACAAUUUAAAUUCCGAUCACUACAUCCUCAUGUUCAGCUUCAUGCAUGGCAUAUUAGCCCCGCGGAUUGUAGUGGCUAACAGUAAACCACCCAUCAUCAAUUGGGUCUUCAACUUAAAAACAUGAGUUGCUUGCGACGCUAAAACGAAAGGCUCGUCUGAUACAUUUUCACCAGUUUGAUCAAAUGCUUGAAAUUUAUAGAAGUUACCUCAAGGCGAUCAACCUUUACCCACUAGUCUUUUCUGCGAUUGUCAACCCAAUCACAUUUGAAGAGAACUAUUUUUCCUUUAUUUUGAUAGUUCAACUCAAGAAUUUCCUUUAUGAUAUCGUAAAAUGUUUGGUGACCUAUUAUCAUAUUAUCAUCGUUUCCUUUUUCAUAAUGUCUAGUCUGUGAAACUAGAGACAUACCACUAUUUUGCACUAGCCUACCAUCGUCAUAGGACCAUCAUCAUAAAAUAUGUAUCUCCUCUCGCACUUUGUCACUCAUUUCUUCCACGUGUGAAUAUGGAAUAUAGUACUUUUGAAAGUGGAUGGAACUCACUCCAUAUAUAUACAUCACAAGAAAACACAUACAUGUGACCACUUACAUGCUUCUUAAACCACUCAUGGAAGGACUCAUGUUGGACAUGACUAAUUUGUUGAUUAUUUUUAAGAACAUUUGUGAAUGAUGUUCUUUAUGAUUGCUGCAUAUUAUUCAUUACUUCAACAACAAGCAUAAAUAAAAUAUAAAUUGGAAAAAAUAGAUAGCUUACUUCAAAUAAAGUUCUAUGUGGUCAUAGUUGAACAAGACAUAUCUCUGAGCUUGAAGCCAAGUCUUAUUGUACAAUGCAUGGAAUGCUUGCCAACUAAUCCUUGACCAAGGUUGCUCAAGAAAGGUGUGGUACUACCCAAACCUUGAUCAUUUCUAAUUUGUCGAGUGAACUGAGUUUCACCUUUUAAAUACCAAGAACAAAAGGUAAGAGUCUCAUCAAAUAAAUAGCUCUCAGCAAUAGUGUAACAGCCCAAGUGCAAUCCUUGCCAUCUUUGUAAUAUAUUCCAUGUGGGAACCAUCCAUGUAUUCCAUCAUGUGGUUUGAUUUAAUAAAUUGCUUCAUACAAUUUUUUUGCACAUGGCAUCAUGGCAUCAUUCCAUAAUCAUUCUUUUGCAUGAUAUGAUGUUGUGUGAAUGUGUGUUGUGGUGUUGAUGUGCUUGCAUGAGGUGGAUUGCUCUAGUAGAUUGCCUUCAUG
RNAcentral lists this long non-coding RNA (1839 nucleotides) under Hordeum vulgare. Its description in RNAcentral is "long non-coding RNA (HVUL_LNC012284)". The record is from RNAcentral. Lineage: Eukaryota; Viridiplantae; Streptophyta; Magnoliopsida; Poales; Poaceae.